This 253-nucleotide ribosomal RNA is filed under the name uncultured bacterium. RNAcentral describes it as "partial 16S ribosomal RNA". It matches the Rfam family "Bacterial small subunit ribosomal RNA", at positions 524 to 776 of the family's 1533-position model. The record is from RNAcentral.
UACGGAGGGAGCUAGCGUUGUUCGGAAUUACUGGGCGUAAAGCGCACGUAGGCGGCUUCGCAAGUCAGAGGUGAAAGCCUGGGGCUCAACCCCAGAAUUGCCUUUGAGACUGCGUCGCUCGAAUCCGGGAGAGGUGAGUGGAAUUCCGAGUGUAGAGGUGAAAUUCGUAGAUAUUCGGAAGAACACCAGUGGCGAAGGCGGCUCACUGGACCGGCAUUGACGCUGAGGUGCGAAAGCGUGGGGAGCAAACAGG